Molecule: long non-coding RNA, 2229 nt
Filed under: Triticum aestivum (bread wheat)
Lineage: Eukaryota; Viridiplantae; Streptophyta; Magnoliopsida; Poales; Poaceae
Description: long non-coding RNA (TAES_LNC019566)
Source: RNAcentral
CUCCCGUGCUUCCAGACAUGCUGAACUCCCAAAAUUUUUGUACAUUCAAAAAAGGAAUUGAUUCCGUAAAAGAUGGGAUCGACCAGUAAAUAGAAAAUUACUGAUAUUUCAUCCUUGUGUGAUUGUGUCAUAGUUCUAUAGUUGGAAUUUGGUUUAUCGUUGGAUGAACUGCAUUGCUGAUAUUGAUCCCAAGAAAAAAACAGUAGGUACAGCUAGUCCGUGAAUAGCCAGCCAUCGCACUGUAAAAAUAGGAUAGGUUCGAUCUAUGGUCAUUGAGGGCCUCCUAAAAGGAUCUACUAAAUUCAUCGAGUUGUUCUAAAGAAUCAAAACGGUCGGUUAUUAACGGAAUUCCUUGUCGGCUUUCCGUGAAAUACUCGUUUGGCCUAGGACUUCCAAACACGUCAUAAGCUAAACCCGUACUGACAAAUAACCAACCCGCAAUGAAUAGGGAAGGUAUAGUAAUGCUAGAGACAAAAACAGUCAUGGGUAGUUAUAAGGAUGGUAUCCUUCCAAAUGGGAUAAGAGAAUUCUUAUUAGUCUCUUUCUUUCUCUCAAUUGAAGAAGUAAUUGGAAAAUAAAACAGCAAGUACAAAAAUGAGUAAUAAACCCCAGUAUAGACUGGUACGAUUCAAUUCAACAUUUUGUUCAUUCGGGUUUGAUUGUGUCAUAGUUCUAUAGUUGGAAUUUGGUUUAUCGUUGGAUGAACUGCAUUGCUGAUAUUGAUCCCAAGAAAAAAACAGUAGGUACAGCUAGUCCGUGAAUAGCCAGCCAUCGCACUGUAAAAAUAGGAUAGGUUCGAUCUAUGGUCAUUGAGGGCCUCCUAAAAGGAUCUACUAAAUUCAUCGAGUUGUUCUAAAGAAUCAAAACGGUCGGUUAUUAUCGGAAUUCCUUGUCGGCUUUCCGUGAAAUACUCGUUUGGCCUAGGACUUCCAAACACGUCAUAAGCUAAACCCGUACUGACAAAUAACCAACCCGCAAUGAAUAGGGAAGGUAUAGUAAUGCUAUGAAUAACCCAGUAUCGAAUACUGGUAAUAAUAUCAGCAAAAGAACGUUCUCCCGUGCUUCCAGACAUGCUGAACUCCCAAAAUUUUUGUACAUUCAAAAAAGGAAUUGAUUCCGUAAAAGAUGGGAUCGACCAGUAAAUAGAAAAUUACUGAUAUUUCAUCCUUGUGAGAUUGUCAAUUUUGUACCAAAGGUGUAUUUUGAGUAUACCGAAUUAGUAUAGCUAUCCUUCCUAUGGCACAGCAAUCUGGUUUUGCCUGGUUCCGAAACAUAAUUACUUUUUUAUUUUUUUUGUCUAUAGGUAAGCUAUAUGUUAUUCAAGGCAUCAAUAGAAAACCCCAUUUUUGUAGGUUCUACUUACUUUUCAUUGGCUUCGGAAUAUAUAGAGUAAUUCGGAAUAGCAGCCAAAAUCUUGGGAAAAUCUAAGUUAAUGAUCAAUAGGUUUGGAUAAAUAAUUUAGGAAGGAUAUUCUCAUACUGACACAAUACAAGGACAAGUAUAUGUGAAAUCUAUCCUUUCAUAAUUCGUAAUUCAUCCUUGUAUUGUUUGUUGGAUUAGGUCUAACUUUCUUGACCAAACUGCGAGCGCGGAACUUUACGAGAUGAAAUAGGGAAAGACAGAAGAUAGAAUAGAACUUAAAAGGAUAAUUGAAGUGACUCGUCUUCGAAUCUACUUUGGUUGGAGUUCGAAAAAGGAAUAAAAAUAAAGUAAAUUCAAGGAAGAGCUUUCUUUUUUUUUUAACAGCCCCUUGGCAGGUCGUGGAAUGCUUUUGUUCUCCUCUUAUUCCAUAUGGAAUACAAUCAGUUAAAAUAAGAAGGAAUAGGGGAAUAUUCGAUCGUUCACUCCAAAACGAGGGUCCUAUUGAAAAAGAAAUUAUCCAAAAUAGAAAGAAGUUUUUUUUUCAAAUUCAAUUGUUUAUUUAUCUCUUAUUCAAAAAUUUCCCUGAAAAUUGAAUGAAAAAAUGAAAUUCAAUGGGGUUAGAUGAUCUAGUUCUUAAUAUUAUUACUUUACUCAAUUGACAAAUUCCACAACAAAUCUCUUGAUUCGGAAUUAGGGACUCAUGUAUCAUCUGAUGAAUCCACUUUCUUUUACACUUCUGUAUCUUACUCUACCUUGUUUUUUAGUAUUAUCUAAAAUAACUGAUGAAUUCUGAAUUUUCCAUAACUUAGGUAAAUGCUUUACCAACAUAUGUAGUGUAGUAAAAAAAAAAUGGAAUUUAACUCUUUC